Molecule: ribosomal RNA, 439 nt
Filed under: uncultured bacterium
Lineage: Bacteria
Description: partial 16S ribosomal RNA
Rfam family: Bacterial small subunit ribosomal RNA
Source: RNAcentral
CUACGGGCGGCUGCAGUGGGGAAUAUUGCACAAUGGAGGAAACUCUGAUGCAGCAACGCCGCGUGGAGGAUGACACAUUUCGGUGCGUAAACUCCUUUUAUAUGGGAAGAUAAUGACGGUACCAUAUGAAUAAGCACCGGCUAACUCCGUGCCAGCAGCCGCGGUAAUACGGAGGGUGCAAGCGUUACUCGGAAUCACUGGGCGUAAAGCGCGCGCAGGCGGCCUUUUAAGUUGGAUGUGAAAGCCUAUGGCUCAACCAUAGAACUGCAUCCAAAACUAUCAGGCUAGAGUGUGGGAGAGGAAGAUGGAAUUAGUUGUGUAGGGGUAAAAUCCGUAGAGAUAACUAGGAAUACCAAAAGCGAAGGCAAUCUUCUGGAACAUUACUGACGCUGAGGCGCGAAAGCGUGGGGAGCAAACAGGAUUAGAUACCCCAGUAGUC